RNAcentral lists this ribosomal RNA (499 nucleotides) under uncultured bacterium. Its description in RNAcentral is "SSU rRNA". It matches the Rfam family "Bacterial small subunit ribosomal RNA", at positions 26 to 518 of the family's 1533-position model. The record is from RNAcentral.
AGAUUGAACGCUGGCGGCGUGCCUAACACAUGCAAGUCGAGCGGUAACAGGUGUAGCAAUACAUGCUGACGAGCGGCGAACGGGUGAGUAAUGCUUUGGAAUCUUCCCAGUAGUGGGGAAUAACCAGUCGAAAGAUUGGCUAAUACCGCAUACGUCUGUAAAGGGAAAGCGGGGGCUCGUAAGACCUCGCGCUAUUGGAUGAGCCAAAGUCGGAUUAGCUAGUUGGUGGGUAACGGCCUACCAAGGCGACAAUCCGUAGCUGGUCUGAGAGGACGACCAGCCACACCGGAACUGAGACACGGUCCGGACUCCUACGGGAGGCAGCAGUGAGGAAUAUUGGACAAUGGGGGAAACCCUGAUCCAGCGACGCCGCGUGUGUGAAGAAGGCCUGCGGGUUGUAAAGCACUUUUAGUGGGGACAAAAAGCUACGGAUUAAUACUCUGUGGUCUUGAUUUAACCCAAAGAAAAAGCAACCGGCUAACUCUGUGCCAGCAGCCGC